GUGUUCGGGUUGUCAUGCCAAUGGCACUGCCCGGUAGCUAAAUGCGGAAGAGAUAAGUGCUGAAAGCAUCUAAGCACGAAACUUGCCCCGAGAUGAGUUCUCCCUGAGACUUUAGGUCUCCUGAAGGAACGUUGAAGACGACGACGUUGAUAGGCCGGGUGUGUAAGCGCAGCGAUGCGUUGAGCUAACCGGUACUAAUGAACCGUGAGGCUUAACCUU
This 219-nucleotide ribosomal RNA is filed under the name Salmonella enterica. RNAcentral describes it as "partial 23S ribosomal RNA". It matches the Rfam family "Bacterial large subunit ribosomal RNA", at positions 2712 to 2925 of the family's 2925-position model. Lineage: Bacteria; Pseudomonadati; Pseudomonadota; Gammaproteobacteria; Enterobacterales; Enterobacteriaceae. RNAcentral also lists the same sequence under 2 other names. The record is from RNAcentral.